UUUCUAAAGAGUCAACGUUCAACGAAGGCAAAUUAAGGGCUGCCACGUGUCCCGUGAACUGCUAUCGUAACUGGAUCUCCUACCGUCUGUCUAUCUCUUAUCGGGAAAGCACUUUUUUUUUUUAUCCUUUAGUGUAUGAUUUGACUCCACUCAAUAUAUCAUGCCCAUCAACAGACCCACUGCAGCUGUACCGGCGAAGUCAACCUAGAAUAUUCAGUCAGGUGUUUUCAAUAUGAGUACACCCGGAAAUCGGCCAGCCCUC
RNAcentral lists this long non-coding RNA (262 nucleotides) under Capsicum annuum. RNAcentral describes it as "long non-coding RNA (CANN_LNC015893)". The record is from RNAcentral. Lineage: Eukaryota; Viridiplantae; Streptophyta; Magnoliopsida; Solanales; Solanaceae.